RNAcentral lists this ribosomal RNA (315 nucleotides) under uncultured eukaryote. RNAcentral describes it as "partial 18S ribosomal RNA". It matches the Rfam family "Eukaryotic small subunit ribosomal RNA", at positions 1470 to 1796 of the family's 1831-position model. The record is from RNAcentral.
CCCUUAGAUGUUCUGGGCCGCACGCGCGCUACACUGACGAAUGCAACGAGCUUAUAACCUUGGCCGAAAGGUCUGGGCAAUCUUUGAACGCUGGUCGUGAUGGGGAUAGACUUUUGCAAUUUUUGGUCUUCAACGAGGAAUUCCUAGUAAACGCAAGUCAUCAACUUGCAUUGAUUACGUCCCUGCCCUUUGUACACACCGCCCGUCGCACCUACCGAUUGAAUGGUCCGGUGAAGCCUCCGGAUUGGCGCGCACCUCGGUGCCGCCGAGAAGUUGGCUAAACCUUACCAUUUAGAGGAAGGUGAAGUCGUAACA